Molecule: long non-coding RNA, 276 nt
Organism: Polypterus senegalus (gray bichir)
Lineage: Eukaryota; Metazoa; Chordata; Cladistia; Polypteriformes; Polypteridae
Exons: 3
Source: RefSeq, a predicted model, not a curated record
ACCUUUAGUGUCACUUGUAAAAGAGAAAUGGCCAGGCCUCUUCUUACAGCAUCAGGUGUAUGGAGAAUUCAAACGAAUAACGGGAAUCGACCUGUAUAAAACCUUCCUGUUUGCUUUGGAAACGUAUGCAAAUGGGUUUAUUCGCUUGUUCAGAACAAAAGGAGGUGAUGAAAUCGGGACCCUUUUGGAAAGACUUGAUCAGCAGACUACAGACAUAACUGAACACCGUAGAUCAGUUGCAUUGAAAGGCCUUCCACGUUACCUGAGAGAGCACAC